This 223-nucleotide ribosomal RNA is filed under the name uncultured bacterium. RNAcentral describes it as "partial 16S ribosomal RNA". It matches the Rfam family "Bacterial small subunit ribosomal RNA", at positions 30 to 252 of the family's 1533-position model. The record is from RNAcentral.
AUUGAACGCUGGCGGCGUGCCUAACACAUGCAAGUCGAGCGGCAGCGCGGGAGCAAUCCUGGCGGCGAGCGGCGGACGGGUGAGUAAUGCUUGGGAAUCUGCCUGUUAGUGGGGGACAACCCGGGGAAACGUCGGGCUAAUACCGCAUACGCACUACGGUGGAAAGCCGGGGACCGCAAGGCCUGGCGCUAACAGAUGAGCCCAAGUCGGAUUAGUUAGUUGG